Molecule: ribosomal RNA, 546 nt
Filed under: Vibrio parahaemolyticus
Lineage: Bacteria; Pseudomonadati; Pseudomonadota; Gammaproteobacteria; Vibrionales; Vibrionaceae
Description: bacterial SSU rRNA
Rfam family: Bacterial small subunit ribosomal RNA
Source: RNAcentral
AAUAUUGCACAAUGGGCGCAAGCCUGAUGCAGCCAUGCCGCGUGUGUGAAGAAGGCCUUCGGGUUGUAAAGCACUUUCAGUCGUGAGGAAGGUAGUGUAGUUAAUAGCUGCAUUAUUUGACGUUAGCGACAGAAGAAGCACCGGCUAACUCCGUGCCAGCAGCCGCGGUAAUACGGAGGGUGCGAGCGUUAAUCGGAAUUACUGGGCGUAAAGCGCAUGCAGGUGGUUUGUUAAGUCAGAUGUGAAAGCCCGGGGCUCAACCUCGGAAUUGCAUUUGAAACUGGCAGACUAGAGUACUGUAGAGGGGGGUAGAAUUUCAGGUGUAGCGGUGAAAUGCGUAGAGAUCUGAAGGAAUACCGGUGGCGAAGGCGGCCCCCUGGACAGAUACUGACACUCAGAUGCGAAAGCGUGGGGAGCAAACAGGAUUAGAUACCCUGGUAGUCCACGCCGUAAACGAUGUCUACUUGGAGGUUGUGGCCUUGAGCCGUGGCUUUCGGAGCUAACGCGUUAAGUAGACCGCCUGGGGAGUACGGUCGCAAGAUUAAA